This 440-nucleotide ribosomal RNA is filed under the name uncultured bacterium. RNAcentral's name for it is "partial 16S ribosomal RNA". It matches the Rfam family "Bacterial small subunit ribosomal RNA", at positions 338 to 795 of the family's 1533-position model. The record is from RNAcentral.
ACUACGGGAGGCAGCAGUGGGGAAUAUUGCACAAUGGGGGAAACCCUGAUGCAGCGACGCCGCGUGAGUGAAGAAGUAUCUCGGUACGUAAAGCUCUAUCAGCAGGGAAGAAAAUGACGGUACCUGACUAAGAAGCCCCGGCUAACUACGUGCCAGCAGCAGCGGUAAUACGUAGGGGGCAAGCGUUAUCCGGAUUUACUGGGUGUAAAGGGAGCGUAGACGGCAGCACAAGUCUGGAGUGAAAUCCCGGGUGUUAACCCCGGAACUGCUUUGGAAACUGGGCGGCUGGAGGGCCGGAGGGGUAAGCGGAAGUCCUAGUGGAGCGGUGAAAUGCGUAGAUAUUAGGAGGAACACCGGUGGCGAAGGCGGCUUACUGGACUGUAACUGACGUUGAGGCUCGAAAGCGUGGGGAGCAAACAGGAUUAGAUACCCCUGUAGUC